CUCUCUCUCUCUCUCUCUCCCUUCAUAUCUCUGAAAUCAAUAAAAACAUAUUUUUUAGAAAAUUCCAAUUCUCAUCCUUAUGCCUUCUUAAGCAAUAAUAAACAUCAUCUAACACAUAACAGUCUAUAUUGCUUCCCAGAUAACAAAACCCUGACUGAGGUGAACACGUUUAGCACCGACUCUCCCAGGAGUAGCAUACCGCUACCACAGGUGCAGUCCUCUUCAUUAGGAUUCUAGAGAAUAGAAUAGAAUAGAAUAAUUUACAAUAGAAUAGAAUAGUAU
Long non-coding RNA from Myotis brandtii (Brandt's bat), 282 nucleotides. RefSeq lists it as uncharacterized. The record is from RefSeq and is a predicted model, not a curated record. The transcript is spliced from 3 exons. NCBI's taxonomy places the organism in Eukaryota, Metazoa, Chordata, Mammalia, Chiroptera, Vespertilionidae.